AGUGAACGCUGGCGGCAGGCCUAACACAUGCAAGUCGAGCGGCAGCGCGGGGGCAACCCUGGCGGCGAGCGGCGGACGGGUGAGGAAUUCGUCGGAAUCUGCCUGUUUGUGGGGGAUAACGUAGGGAAACUUACGCUAAUACCGCAUACGUCCUACGGGAGAAAGUGGGGGACCGCAAGGCCUCACGCAGAAAGAUGAGCCGACGACCGAUUAGCUAGUUGGUGGGGUAAAGGCCCACCAAGGCGACGAUCGGUAGCUGGUCUGAGAGGAUGAUCAGCCACACUGGGACUGAGACACGGCCCAGACUCCUACGGGAGGCAGCAGUGGGGAAUAUUGGACAAUGGGCGCAAGCCUGAUCCAGCCAUGCCGCGUGUGUGAAGAAGGCCUUCGGGUUGUAAAGCACUUUUGUCCGGAAAGAAAUCCCUGGAGCUAAUACCUUCGGGGGAUGACGGUACCGGAAGAAUAAGCACCGGCUAACUUCGUG
RNAcentral lists this ribosomal RNA (484 nucleotides) under uncultured bacterium. RNAcentral describes it as "partial 16S ribosomal RNA". It matches the Rfam family "Bacterial small subunit ribosomal RNA", at positions 29 to 507 of the family's 1533-position model. The record is from RNAcentral.